AUUGAACGCUGGCGGCAGGCCUAACACAUGCAAGUCGAGCGGAUGAAGGGAGCUUGCUCCUGGAUUCAGCGGCGGACGGGUGAGUAAUGCCUAGGAAUCUGCCUGGUAGUGGGGGAUAACGUCCGGAAACGGGCGCUAAUACCGCAUACGUCCUGAGGGAGAAAGAGGGGGAUCUUCGGACCUCACGCUAUUAGAUGAGCCUAGGUCGGAUUAGCUAGUUGGUGGGGUAAAGGCCUACCAAGGCGACGAUCCGUAACUGGUCUGAGAGGAUGAUCAAUCACACUGGAACUGAGACACGGUCCAGACUCCUACGGGAGGCAGCAGUGGGGAAUAUUGGGCAAUGGGCGAAAGCCUGAUCCAGCCAUGCCGCGUGUGUGAAGAAGGUCUUCGGAUUGUAAAGCACUUUUAGUUGGGAGGAAGGGCAGUAAGUUAAUACCUUGCUGUUUUGACGUUACCAACAGAAUAAGCACCGGCUAACUUCGUG
This 484-nucleotide ribosomal RNA is filed under the name uncultured bacterium. RNAcentral's name for it is "partial 16S ribosomal RNA". It matches the Rfam family "Bacterial small subunit ribosomal RNA", at positions 30 to 507 of the family's 1533-position model. The record is from RNAcentral.